GGGAGGGUCCGAGUACUAGAACGACAUUGCCACGACAUGACUCAUCUCUGCCACUGCAUCGCUCUUGUUCGAUGCAGCUUCGUCAGGGGCAAACAUCUCAGGACCAUGGCACGGGCUUGGAUUCGAUGCCCGUGUAGUUUCUUUCCCCUAACCCAUAUGCGUACACAGGAUAUGAUGCAUACACCCAAGAUGAGGGAUCUCAGCCGUUUCUCUCCACGCGAGGGAUCCCCAUGCCCGAGGAGACUCGUGUACCAGAUUUAAACCAGCACCAAGUACAAUCGCCAGACAGUAUAGGAGAGGGAUAUGCUUAGGUAGUCAUGUUUACAUUUCAAUGCAUUUACAAUGAUAUCAUAUAUUAUCCUCUAAUAGUUUGUUUAAAAUGUUUCUAUGUGCAGGACACACCUGAUGUUAAUUGGGACGAUGAGAACACCCAACGCGGCGUCAACACAGGCCUCCGGGGAGCAUCACAUGAUCAUGGCGUCAACACAGGCCUCCGGGGAGCAUCACAUGAUCUUGGCGACACGGUUACAUCAUUAGUUACAGAGUUCUUCGGAGAGGAUGUUAUUGGCCCAUCUUUUAUCCCCCGGAGUCACAACCAUACGCCUACAAUUACGCUUCAGGUUCGCAACAAGGAUUCGCGACUCCAUCACCUACGCAGGACUCGCAGACACAUGAAGCCGAAUUGGAGUACGGCCGCGGUCUUCGUGUGACUCGGCCACCUAAUCGCUUGUCGCCUUCCGGUCGUAAGGAAAGGCCAGGUGGUCGUCGUAAAGUAGGGUGAUUCAUCUAUGCACGUGCACGACCCAUUGUAUCUAUAUAUGUGUGUAUCAGACUUUUCGAUUUGAACAUCUAUGUUUGCUGAAAUAAAAAUGCACCAGUCAGGAACAAUUUUUCCCGCCUAUAUCUCCCGCCA
This 913-nucleotide long non-coding RNA is filed under the name Triticum aestivum (bread wheat). Its description in RNAcentral is "long non-coding RNA (TAES_LNC026877)". Lineage: Eukaryota; Viridiplantae; Streptophyta; Magnoliopsida; Poales; Poaceae. The record is from RNAcentral.